UGGACGUUGCGUUGGAAAGUUUCAUGAACCUUAUCACUUAGAGGAAGGAGAAGUCGUAACAAGGUUUCCGUAGGUGAACCUACGGAAGGAUCAUUCG
Molecule: ribosomal RNA, 97 nt
Filed under: Symbiodinium sp. PtMiI1-9
Lineage: Eukaryota; Dinophyceae; Suessiales; Symbiodiniaceae
Description: partial 18S ribosomal RNA
Rfam family: Eukaryotic small subunit ribosomal RNA
Source: RNAcentral